Molecule: transfer RNA, 75 nt
Filed under: Babesia sp. Lintan
Lineage: Eukaryota; Apicomplexa; Aconoidasida; Piroplasmida; Babesiidae
Description: tRNA-Arg
Rfam family: tRNA
About the family: Transfer RNA (tRNA) molecules are approximately 80 nucleotides in length. Their secondary structure includes four short double-helical elements and three loops (D, anti-codon, and T loops). Further hydrogen bonds mediate the characteristic L-shaped molecular structure. tRNAs have two regions of fundamental functional importance: the anti-codon, which is responsible for specific mRNA codon recognition, and the 3' end, to which the tRNAs corresponding amino acid is attached (by aminoacyl-tRNA synthetases). tRNAs cope with the degeneracy of the genetic code in two manners: having more than one tRNA (with a specific anti-codon) for a particular amino acid; and 'wobble' base-pairing, i.e. permitting non-standard base-pairing at the 3rd anti-codon position.
Source: RNAcentral
AGAUCUAUAGCUUAAAUAGAUUAAAGCGUGUAAUUACGAAUUAUAAUAUAAAGGUUUAAACCCUUUUAGAUCUUG